This is a long non-coding RNA of Siniperca chuatsi (mandarin fish), 2498 nucleotides long. RefSeq lists it as uncharacterized. The transcript is spliced from 3 exons. The record is from RefSeq and is a predicted model, not a curated record. Lineage: Eukaryota; Metazoa; Chordata; Actinopteri; Centrarchiformes; Sinipercidae.
AAUCUGUAAAACUCAAAUCUCUAGAUACGUGAUCUGAGAAGGUUUCCGAGGAACUCGAGGCGUGUAUUCAUCCGGCACCACUGGAAGUUUCUUAUAUAAAAUGGAUUAGAAACAAAUGUUUGCACUCAUGUGGAUAUAAUCAAGUCCGGGGCUCUGCGGCUGGCCUUUCAGCUGAGCUGCGCUAGGGGGAUAAAAAAAAAAAGAACAAAAUUCCAAACCCAAACUCACUCCUCUCUCUUGUUUCCAGGAACCGGCCGCAAGGACUGAACGUCUCUGGGUGAGCUCAGUGCAGAGUGUUGCAGAGAGAAGGGGGGAGGGCGGGUGGGGGUGAAGGGAUAGGAAGGACGUUUCUUUUUCUCUCUUUCUCUUUUUUUUAAGUUGCUGGCAGGAACCGUCAGCGACCCAAUCUGCUUUCAAUUACCGGUGGAGGAUGAUGUUAGCCCUCUUCCUGUCCGUUAUGUCUUGCACAUGCAAACUCCAAAACAUCCUGAAGUCUCACCACUGUCCUCUCAUCCCUCCUUCCCCUCCCUCACUCUCUCUCCUCCUCCAUCCGCUGAGAGCAAAGUGAUUCAUCUUCAUUGCAGUAGAGGGUAAAAUGGCCAAAGGGUCAUUUCCACUCUUCCUCAGCCUGACCCCAUCUUUUAAGUGCUGGUGAUUCUGUGGUCAGUGGUCCAAAGAGUAGUUAAGGGAUUUCUGAAUGUGCAUUGGAGGGAAAGGGAGGCUGCUGUUGAUGAGCUCUUAGUUUUUCUUGUGGCAAUAAGUGGUGACGCGGUUUGGGUUAUAAAUUUGUUUUGUACUUAAUAUGAAGCAAAGACUGUGUGAUGCAAACCAGCCUGCAACCUUGCAGGGCCACUGCAAGGCUGAAUGAAACUGAGACACAACUAAUGCUGAUUACAAACAAAGGAUCCAAUACAGAUUGUGUCAAGGACCUGUCCAUGUGCCUCUUAAUGAUUUUUUUUCCUAGCAUAUUUUUUCCUUGAGUAGUCUAUGACAUGUAGCACUCAGCCUCAGUUGAAACUUAACCAAAUGGUUUUUUCUGUUGUUUUUUUUACUCCUAGAUAGCUUCUUUUUGUUUUUUCUACAUCUGAGGAACAUUUCUAAACUCAAGCCGAUUGUAUCUCAAGCUGAGAUGGAGAUGAUCAUUCACUCUUUUCUCUUUAACUCCCUAUUCACUUGCCUUAACAAGACAUCUCUGUAUCAGUUACAAGUGGACCAGAAUGCCGCCACAAAGUUUUUGACCAGGUCCUCUAAAAAUGUCUUGUGUAACACAAAUCUUGAUUACUUUACACUGGCUCCCUAUCAAAUUCUGACAUUUGUUAGCUACUGUAGCCUUCUAUCACCAGUAGAUCUCUUCUGAUCACAGCUCAUUGUACCUUGCUCCAGGCUAAAAAGUUAAGACUAAAACUUUGUGUUUGUGGCUUCUAAGCCUUGGAACUCACUCCCUUUGGGACUUAAGAUCUGGGUACACCUUUAAAAAGCAGCUCAAAACCCAUCUGUUUACACUUGCUUUUGUUUAAUCUAUUUAUAUUUGUUAGUUUUAUAGUGUCUGUAUUCAUGUCUGAAAAACUUUAAUUACUUCUUUUGACCAGCUGCACUUCUUUAACUCCUCUUAUCUAACCAACACAAAACACAGACGCAUUUUGGCAAGAUUUAGGAACUAUAUCUGUCCUUUUUCUAGGCCUGGAAAGCAUCAGUUUUCCAAUUUGAUGUCUUUUCUUUUAUUCCUUGACCACAAUAACUGCCGAAAGCCCUUUAUUUACACUGAUAGUCUGUUUCCACCACAGGAACCUUCCCAGGGGACCAGGAACCAUUUCAGGAACUCAGGAACCGUUCCUGUGUUUCGACCAGUGGAACCAGGGACUAAAGUCAGUUCCUCUGCCAUAGUUCCUGGACCCUUCCAACUAGGCGAUGGACAGACAGAAGGACGGACGCAGUGAGAGGAAGAGAAGAAGAGGAGAAGGAGAAAUAUAAUUAAUGCAAGCAGAGGUCUAAACUUCCCAUCAUUCCACCUGGCUGCUCCUUCAGCUCUUCAUCUGCAUUAACGCUUCAGACCGGCGCUGCUAAACUGCACAAAAACAUCUGGUCCGAGUGGAAGGGACAAGGCAAGACAGCACAGGAUGUGGAAGGAAGCUGGGGCGAGGAGGGAGAUGAGGAGCACCAGCCACAACAACAUAUGCACUAACCCCAAACCAUCAGCUCCCUACCCUGUGAAAGUGGAGGGCCUCAACCUCCUGAGGAUGAUGGAUCAGGGGAGAAAACCUGAGAAACAGCUGCAAGGGGAGAAACCUUUUGUUUUUCCUCAUGGACACAUCAGUAUUCUUAUCCAUUAUUAAGCUUUUACAGAAUGACAAAUUUUUACAUUAAGACAUUGAAACAAAUGUACUGCAAUGUGUGCAAAGAAAACGUUUCUUUAAUCAUUGUUUAAGAAAGAAAAAAAGCUAAAAAUCUUCUACAAGGCUGAGAUAUGAUGUUUUAUUAGAGUAAAAACUUUGAUUUUU